GAUGAACGCUGGCGGCGUGCCUAAUACAUGCAAGUCGAGCGAACAGACGAGGAGCUUGCUCCUCUGACGUUAGCGGCGGACGGGUGAGUAACACGUGGAUAACCUACCUAUAAGACUGGGAUAACUUCGGGAAACCGGAGCUAAUACCGGAUAAUAUAUUGAACCGCAGGGUUCAAUAGUGAAAGACGGUUUUGCUGUCACUUAUAGAUGGAUCCGCGCCGCAUUAGCUAGUUGGUAAGGUAACGGCUUACCAAGGGAACGAUGCGUAGCCGACCUGAGAGGGUGAUCGGCCACACUGGAACUGAGACACGGUCCAGACUCCUACGGGAGGCAGCAGUAGGGAAUCUUCCGCAAUGGGCGAAAGCCUGACGGAGCAACGCCGCGUGAGUGAUGAAGGUCUUCGGAUCGUAAAACUCUGUUAUUAGGGAAGAACAAAUGUGUAAGUAACUAUGCACGUCUUGACGGUACCUAAUCAGAAAGCCACGGCUAACUACGUG
RNAcentral lists this ribosomal RNA (497 nucleotides) under uncultured bacterium. Its description in RNAcentral is "partial 16S ribosomal RNA". It matches the Rfam family "Bacterial small subunit ribosomal RNA", at positions 28 to 507 of the family's 1533-position model. The record is from RNAcentral.